UGCUAUUAAUAACUUUUUUUAAUCAACAGGUGGGGCUCUGUUGUCACCGGCAGGUUCUGGCAAUCUUGCAAUGAUCGGUGCCAAGAACUCGGCAGGAGAGGAUACUGUAUGAUGUCUCGUUCGACUUGUCCAUUUUCCAACCAGGCUUAUCAAUGCCAGUGCUACAACUGAAGAUUUACAAGGAGGAAAGAGCUACAACUUCCAAGAAUGUCUUCUCCGUCUGAACCACGAGAUACAGCGAGACAAAUCGAUACAAGCACAUUGAUCUAUAAAGUAUCCACACUCUCCAUGAACCUAUAAAUUCGGAGUCUUCAAAUUUUAUUAAGUAUGCAUGCACAUUUGUUUUUAUAUGUGAUUUCGAAAAUAAAGAUAAAUUUAGGAAGUUUA
This is a long non-coding RNA of Aplysia californica (California sea hare), 387 nucleotides long. RefSeq lists it as uncharacterized. The record is from RefSeq and is a predicted model, not a curated record. The transcript is spliced from 2 exons. Lineage: Eukaryota; Metazoa; Mollusca; Gastropoda; Aplysiida; Aplysiidae.